GACGAACGCUGGCGGCGUGCCUAAUACAUGCGAGUAGAACGCUGAAGGAGGAGCUUGCUUCUCUGGAUGAGUUGCGAACGGGUGAGUAACGCGUAGGUAACCUGCCUGGUAGCGGGGGAUAACUAUUGGAAACGAUAGCUAAUACCGCAUAAUAGUAGAUGUUGCAUGACAUUUGCUUAAAAGGUGCAAUUGCAUCACUACCAGAUGGACCUGCGUUGUAUUAGCUAGUUGGUGAGGUAACGGCUCACCAAGGCGACGAUACAUAGCCGACCUGAGAGGGUGAUCGGCCACACUGGGACUGGGACACGGCCCAGACUCCUACGGGAGGCAGCAGUAGGGAAUCUUCGGCAAUGGACGGAAGUCUGACCGAGCAACGCCGCGUGAGUGAAGAAGGUUUUCGGAUCGUAAAGCUCUGUUGUAAGAGAAGAACGAGUGUGAGAGUGGAAAGUUCACACUGUGACGGUAUCUUACCAGAAAGGGACGGCUAACUACGUG
This 495-nucleotide ribosomal RNA is filed under the name uncultured bacterium. RNAcentral's name for it is "partial 16S ribosomal RNA". It matches the Rfam family "Bacterial small subunit ribosomal RNA", at positions 28 to 507 of the family's 1533-position model. The record is from RNAcentral.